RNAcentral lists this ribosomal RNA (232 nucleotides) under uncultured bacterium. Its description in RNAcentral is "partial small subunit ribosomal RNA". It matches the Rfam family "Bacterial small subunit ribosomal RNA", at positions 26 to 288 of the family's 1533-position model. The record is from RNAcentral.
AGAACGAACGCUGGCGGCAGGCUUAACACAUGCAAGUCGAGCGCCCCGCAAGGGGAGCGGCAGACGGGUGAGUAACGCGUGGGAACAUACCCUCCGGUUCGGAAUAGCUCAGGGAAACUUGGAUUAAUACCGGAUACGGCCUAGCGGCGAAAGAUUGAUCGCCGGAGGAUUGGCCCGCGUCUGAUUAGUUAGUUGGCGGGGUAAUGGCCCACCAAGACGAUGAUCGGUAUCC